AGCAGUUCUCGGGUGAUGCACCCCGGGACCAGAAAGGAGGGAGCCCGAUUCUGGGGUGCAUCACCCAAGAACCGCC
MicroRNA precursor from Myotis lucifugus (little brown bat), 76 nucleotides. It matches the Rfam family "mir-9223 microRNA precursor family". NCBI's taxonomy places the organism in Eukaryota, Metazoa, Chordata, Mammalia, Chiroptera, Vespertilionidae. The record is from Rfam.